Molecule: ribosomal RNA, 487 nt
Filed under: uncultured bacterium
Lineage: Bacteria
Description: bacterial SSU rRNA
Rfam family: Bacterial small subunit ribosomal RNA
Source: RNAcentral
CGAGACACGCUGGCGGCGUGGAUUAGGCAUGCAAGUCGAACGGUAUCAUCCUUUCGGGGGUGAGAGAGUGGCGAACUGGUGAGUAACACGUAGGUUAUCUACCCUCAAGACGGGACAACCCAGGGAAACUUGGGCUAAUACCGGAUGUGAGCAACUUUUAGUUGUUUGAAAGGUGGCGUAAGCUGUCGCUUGGGGAUGAGCCUGCGUCCUAUUAGUUAGUUGGUGAGGUAACGGCUCACCUAGGCAAUGAUAGGUAGGCGGCCUUAACGGGUGGUCGCCCACACUGGGAUUGAGAUACGGCCCAGACUCCUACGGGAGGCAGCAGUCGAGAAUAGUCUACAAUGGUCGGAAGACUGAUAGUGCGACGCCGCGUGAACGAUGAAUCCCUUCGGGGUGUAAAGUUCUUUUAUAUGUGAGCAGUGCUUCUUAUAUUAACAGUAUGGGGAGAGAGAUAUUAGCAUAUGAAUAAGCAACGGCUAACUCCGUG